This 76-nucleotide transfer RNA is filed under the name Candidatus Andersenbacteria bacterium CG10_big_fil_rev_8_21_14_0_10_54_11. RNAcentral describes it as "tRNA-Trp". It matches the Rfam family "tRNA". Rfam says of the family: Transfer RNA (tRNA) molecules are approximately 80 nucleotides in length. Their secondary structure includes four short double-helical elements and three loops (D, anti-codon, and T loops). Lineage: Bacteria; Candidatus Anderseniibacteriota. The record is from RNAcentral.
GGGGGUAUGGUGAAAUUGGCUAUCAUUGCGGUCUCCAAAACCGCCGUUUCAGGUUCGAGUCCUGAUACCCCUGCCA